CAGGAGAAGCCUCAAAAUCCGGAGAACUGAUUCUGUUGCGGUUGGUGGUGGUGCUGCAUUCCUUGUAGCUCCGUUCCUGUUGGGCUAAGGCUCUCAGUCCCGAUGAAGUUCCUAUUACAGGGGAAAAUAAGAGUUUUUGCAGCUGAGCGACUGAAUCUUACUCGCGAGGACGGGAAGCCCAGAGACUGCUGAGUGCUCGGAGCCGGCGGUAGUACUCCCCAAUGGAGAGGAAACACCGGGCCGCCUGCCGGGUUGUUAGAAUCCGGCGCGUCUGAUGCAACGUUUGCUGCCUCAGAUUGUCAGCCUGCAACAUUUGCAAGAUGAUGAUGCAGUCCAAGAGGAGUGAUGUGCGGUGAGUGCUGACCUGCUGGUAGAAGCUCUCGAGGCUGGCGAGCUUCUCGAGCGCGAUGGCCAUGAUGGCCAUGUAGUUGGGGCCGGGGGUGCCGUCGUUGAGCGUGCC
Molecule: long non-coding RNA, 460 nt
Organism: Triticum aestivum (bread wheat)
Lineage: Eukaryota; Viridiplantae; Streptophyta; Magnoliopsida; Poales; Poaceae
Exons: 3
Source: RefSeq, a predicted model, not a curated record